AGUCGAGCGAGCUUGCCUAUUGAAAUUCUUCGGAAUGGACAUAGAUACAAGCUAGCGGCGGAUGGGUGAGUAACGCGUGGGUAACCUGCCCUUAAGUCUGGGAUACCAUUUGGAAACAGAUGCUAAUACCGGAUAAAAGCUACUUUCGCAUGAAAGAAGUUUAAAAGGCGGCGUAAGCUGUCGCUAAAGGAUGGACCUGCGAUGCAUUAGCUAGUUGGUAAGGUAACGGCUUACCAAGGCGAUGAUGCAUAGCCGAGUUGAGAGACUGAUCGGCCACAUUGGGACUGAGACACGGCCCAAACUCCUACGGGAGGCAGCAGUAGGGAAUCUUCCACAAUGGACGCAAGUCUGAUGGAGCAACGCCGCGUGAGUGAAGAAGGUUUUCGGAUCGUAAAGCUCUGUUGUUGGUGAAGAAGGAUAGAGGUAGUAACUGGCCUUUAUUUGACGGUAAUCAACCAGAAAGUCACGGCUAACUACGUGCCAGCAGCCGCGGUAAUACGUAGGUGGCAAGCGUUGUCCGGAUUUAUUGGGCGUAAAGCGAGCGCAGGCGGAUUGAUAAGUCUGAUGUGAAAGCCUUCGGCUCAACCGAAGAACUGCAUCAGAAACUGUCAAUCUUGAGUGCAGAAGAGGAGAGUGGAACUCCAUGUGUAGCGGUGGAAUGCGUAGAUAUAUGGAAGAACACCAGUGGCGAAGGCGGCUCUCUGGUCUGUAACUGACGCUGAGGCUCGAAAGCAUGGGUAGCGAACAGGAUUAGAUACCCUGGUAGUCCAUGCCGUAAACGAUGAGUGCUAAGUGUUGGGAGGUUUCCGCCUCUCAGUGCUGCAGCUAACGCAUUAAG
Molecule: ribosomal RNA, 838 nt
Filed under: uncultured bacterium
Lineage: Bacteria
Description: bacterial SSU rRNA
Rfam family: Bacterial small subunit ribosomal RNA
Source: RNAcentral